Molecule: ribosomal RNA, 468 nt
Filed under: uncultured bacterium
Lineage: Bacteria
Description: partial 16S ribosomal RNA
Rfam family: Bacterial small subunit ribosomal RNA
Source: RNAcentral
GACGAACGCUGGCGGCGUGCUUAACACAUGCAAGUCGAACGGAAAGGCGCUGCUUUUGCGGGGUGCUCGAGUGGCGAGCGGGUGAGUAACACGUGAGUAACCUGCCCCUGACUUUGUGAUAACUUUAGGAAACUGGGGCGAAUACCGGAGAGGAUCUCCUGCUGCAUGGUGGGGGUUGGAAAGUUUCGGCGGUUGUGGAUGGUCUCGCGGCUUAUCAGCUUGUUGGUGGGGUAGUGGCUGACCAAGGCUUUGACGGGUAGCCGACCUGAGAGGGUGACCGGCGACAAUGGGACUGAGGGAGGGAGCAGAAGCCAACGGGAGGCAGCAGUGGGGAAUAUGGCAGAAUGGGGGGAAGCCAGAUGCAGCAACGUCGCGUGCGGAAUGAUCUGCUACGAGUUGUAAACAGAUGUGGAAUGUAACGAAGCGUGAGUGACGGUAAUUGGUAAGGAAGCACCGGCUAACUACGUG